AACGCACAUUGCGCCCCUUGGUAUUCCGGGGGGCAUGCCUGUUCGAGCGUCAUUAUCACCCCUCAAGCUCAGCUUGGUGUUGGGGCCUGCCCGUCACAGGGCAGCCCCUAAAAGCAGUGGCGGUGCCAUCUGGCUCUACGCGUAGUAAUACUUCUCGCGACAGAGUCCCGGUGGUGUCCUGCCAGAACCCCAAAUUUUAUCACGAUUGACCUCGGAUCAGGUAGGGAUACCCGCUGAACUUAA
RNAcentral lists this unclassified non-coding RNA (243 nucleotides) under uncultured Articulospora. RNAcentral's name for it is "sequence contains ITS2". Lineage: Eukaryota; Fungi; Ascomycota; Leotiomycetes; Helotiales; Helotiaceae. The record is from RNAcentral.